Molecule: unclassified non-coding RNA, 582 nt
Filed under: Aspergillus tabacinus
Lineage: Eukaryota; Fungi; Ascomycota; Eurotiomycetes; Eurotiales; Aspergillaceae
Description: sequence contains 18S rRNA gene, ITS1, 5.8S rRNA gene, ITS2, 28S rRNA gene
Rfam family: 5.8S ribosomal RNA (bases 202-355)
Source: RNAcentral
AGUCGUAACAAGGUUUCCGUAGGUGAACCUGCGGAAGGAUCAUUACUGAGUGCGGGCUGCCUUCGGGCGCCCAACCUCCCACCCGUGACUACCUAACACUGUUGCUUCGGCGGGGAGCCCUCUCGGGGGCGAGCCGCCGGGGACUACUGAACUUCAUGCCUGAGAGUGAUGCAGUCUGAGUCUGAAUAUAAAAUCAGUCAAAACUUUCAACAAUGGAUCUCUUGGUUCCGGCAUCGAUGAAGAACGCAGCGAACUGCGAUAAGUAAUGUGAAUUGCAGAAUUCAGUGAAUCAUCGAGUCUUUGAACGCACAUUGCGCCCCCUGGCAUUCCGGGGGGCAUGCCUGUCCGAGCGUCAUUGCUGCCCAUCAAGCCCGGCUUGUGUGUUGGGUCGUCGUCCCCCCCGGGGGACGGGCCCGAAAGGCAGCGGCGGCACCGUGUCCGGUCCUCGAGCGUAUGGGGCUUUGUCACCCGCUCGAUUUAGGGCCGGCCGGGCGCCAGCCGACGUCCAACCAUUUUUCUUCAGGUUGACCUCGGAUCAGGUAGGGAUACCCGCUGAACUUAAGCAUAUCAAUAAGCGGAGGA